This is a non-coding RNA of Paramuricea clavata, 656 nucleotides long. NCBI's taxonomy places the organism in Eukaryota, Metazoa, Cnidaria, Anthozoa, Malacalcyonacea, Plexauridae. The record is from the annotation of a GenBank genome assembly.
GCUCACCAAUAUGUUUCGGUACGAAGCGGUUGAAGUGGAAAACGGCCUUGAACUCGGCCUAUAUUUAUUAAUAAGUUUACAAAUGUUUCUGUGUUUUCGUUCACAUGCAGUACACAUGCCCAGCAUAUACAGUAGCUAUAACUCCUUGCGGUUGGUUCUCUAAGUGGUAUAAAAAGUGCCAUUUUGGCAUUCUCUGACGGACUGGAAACCUGUAAAAAGUUCAAACGAAUGUGUCCGGUAUUAGAAAGAUAACCUUCGUUGUGGCCAAUCAGAUGCUUCGUGGAUAUGGUUCUUGCUGUGGCCCCUCGUUGCCCUCUAUUGACCACGUGUAAGAAGGGCUUUCGGUGCGAGAAACGUUCGACUUCCAUUUCAAGUACAUAAUUUUGUGUAAUAUGAACAUUUUCGUUUUUUCGACUCACAACUUCUUAUUAUGUUGCAGAUGUUCACACCAUCAUUGUAUCUGACUUUAUUAUUCAUUAAUUACCAUUUUAGAAAAUCGGCGAAUUCAUUAGGGACCUUAAGCAUGCACGACGGUAACGCAACGACGACAGCCAAAACAAAAUUCUUCAAAUAAAUUAUUGCGAAGAAGUGUUGUUAUGUUUUGUCCACUGCAUGUAUAUAUGAAUUGAGUUGAGUUUGAAGAGAUUAAAACAAAG